This 941-nucleotide long non-coding RNA is filed under the name Olea europaea (common olive). Its description in RNAcentral is "long non-coding RNA (OEUR_LNC009978)". Lineage: Eukaryota; Viridiplantae; Streptophyta; Magnoliopsida; Lamiales; Oleaceae. The record is from RNAcentral.
UUUUCAUUCUGUUUCUCUGUGUUUAAUUAGCCUGGAAUGUAUUUAAAUUAUGUUUAUGUCUAACAGGAAUGGUUCUUGUCAUUUAAAUAAUGUGUAUGUGCGACAUUAUGAUAACAUUCAUUGUUUAUUUUCAUCGGAAAGCAAAUUCCACCUUCAGAAAGAUAAAUUAAUAAGCAUUAAAACAAGCUAAUCUAUAUGCUUCCUCUAUUCGCACCCAUUUCUUUCUCAUUAGUACUUUACUAUUAAGCCACUCGAGCCGUGAGUCUACAUAGCUAAUGAUAUUGAUUACAAAUUGGCAGUUGCGAUGGCACGAGUGCUAUUUCCUUUAGAAGCCAAAUUAGCUAUACAGACAGCACAAGCAGAUACAACAGAGGUUAAUUCGAGUGAUAUGCCAACUGAACAAGUCAAAAGGCUCCAGUUCAUGAGGCUGCAAACACUGGAAAAAACUGGUAAGUCGGCUAUGUAACAACUCUUGCUGAUUUAGAGCAUCUUUGGCUAAGCUCAAGCAAAGGCUAAAAGUUCCUUUUUUGUUUGCGAACAUGCUUGGAUAAGUUACUCUCUUUUUUCAUUUUUUAUUUUUUAUUUUUUUUUAUAAAAUGAAAAUAGUUAUUUAUUUUCAAAGUAACUCUUACCUUACCAAUUAACUUAUUUUCAAUUUUGACCAAUUUAAAAGGCUAUUUACUUGAAAAUUUACUUAUUAAGAAACUUUUCUGUUAGAUGAAAAUGUUGUGUUAUGAAAACUUGCAACUGAGGUUAAGCUAUAUAUGAAUCCUGUCUUAGUCUCAGAAGGUCCGCACAGUCUCUCAAAUAAGAAACAGAAGAAGGAACUGUGCAUUCAUUGCUGAUAGUUAUGGAAUGAUGUACCCCAGUAAUAUGUCCUCCAAUAUUAGGAGGGCCUAUUUUUGUUCUUCUAUUUUUUAUUUUUAUUUUUUUUUGGCCGG